Molecule: long non-coding RNA, 485 nt
Organism: Leopardus geoffroyi (Geoffroy's cat)
Lineage: Eukaryota; Metazoa; Chordata; Mammalia; Carnivora; Felidae
Exons: 2
Source: RefSeq, a predicted model, not a curated record
GCUGGAAAGCAGAGGCGGGACGGCCGCCAGUAAGCAUAAAUCCCACUCUGAGUAACAAGCUCGACGCAGAGAUCAUCUCAGAAAUUUACCUGCAGUGGAGCGAAAACAAAACCCAGAAACAAAUAAGGAAGAAACCCCCGAAAGCGGCGCUCAGUCAACGACAGAAAAAACCACUCUUGCGAUUCGUGAUCCGGACGUGACCGGAGAAAACAAGCGGGGGGCUCUCUCCUCGACUCCAGGGAGAUAGUUCAGGGCCUGAGCGCUCACCCGGAGCGCCCAGGACACCUCUGAAGACCCAGGGUAUCGUAACGUCAGGGAAACACCAGUGCAGGCGGGACGGACUUCUCCAGUUACGGACCUCACCGGGAUUAUUGUGUUAAGGUAAUAAGAGAUGCUAACGUGCGGACAAGAGAGAAGACGAGCGUGUGGAAACUCUUGGAGGUCUGAAAUUAUCUCAAAAUGAUAAAUUAAAAAAUAAGAAGCCA